RNAcentral lists this ribosomal RNA (447 nucleotides) under uncultured bacterium. Its description in RNAcentral is "SSU rRNA". It matches the Rfam family "Bacterial small subunit ribosomal RNA", at positions 26 to 518 of the family's 1533-position model. The record is from RNAcentral.
AGAACGAACGCUGGCGGCAGGCCUCAAACAUGCAAGUCUAGGGGGUGUAGCAAUACAUCACCGGCGGACGGGUGCGUAACACGUGGGAAUAUACCUUUUGGUUCGGAACAACGCAGGGAAACUUGCGCUAAUACCGAAUGUGCCCUUACGGGGAAAGAUUUAUCGCCAAAGGAUUAGCCCGCGUAGGAUUAGCUAGUUGGUGAGGUAAUAGCUCACCAAGGCUCCGAUCCUUAGCUGUUCUGAGAGGAAGAUCAGCCACACUGGGACUGAGACACGGCCCAGACUCCUACGGGAGGCAGCAGUUGGGAAUCUUGGACAAUGGGGGAAACCCUGAUCCAGCCAUGCCGCGUGAGUGAUGAAGGCCUUCGGGUUGUAAACUCUUUCGACGGGGACGAUAAUGACGGUACCCGUAGAAGAAGCUCCGGCUAACUUCGUGCCAGCAGCCGC